Hippocampus comes (tiger tail seahorse) is the source of this 495-nucleotide long non-coding RNA. RefSeq lists it as uncharacterized. The record is from RefSeq and is a predicted model, not a curated record. The transcript is spliced from 3 exons. Lineage: Eukaryota; Metazoa; Chordata; Actinopteri; Syngnathiformes; Syngnathidae.
UGAUUUUCUUAUUGUUUCAGGAGAAGAUUGGGCUCCUCAACCUGGAACAGAUCCAGAGCAAGGUAGUCCACAGCAUCAACUUCUGGGGAGCCCUGAAUGCCAAGAGACCAACGUGUCAGGAGAUGCCGCGUAGCUUGUCUCCACUGACCUACCAGCAGAAAUCACGAAUCACGACGGCUGUUUGCACUCAAUGAGUUGGGCAGGGUGAAAGUGAUUGUUUCGUUGCGCUGCGACUUCUCAAAUCACUGAAUGAAUUGUAAGCUCCUUCAAAUUGCGGCUGGAUGGGUAAAAGACAAAAAGGGUGCGAUGUAAGCAAUCUGUGGCUUGUACAGCUAAAUUGUAAGGCGAAUGCUUUUGAAAAAUAAUCAGCGAUUUUUUUUUUUUUUUCACCUGCUCCAUAAUGUGAUUUUUAUUUUUUUAACAACCAACCCUGGUUUAGAUGCUUCAAAUGUCACCCAAACACAAAUACCAAGACAGUGGACAAGCACAUUGGAA